AGCUCUCUCUCUCUGUCAGUCUCAUUUCAGUUCCCCCAAAUUCAAAACCCUAAAUCAAAUUAUGCUGGCGGCCGUAUGUUCUGAAGUUGCAGAACAACAAUCGAGAUGGAGUCCUUUUUUUGGGUGGGAAUCAGGUGGAGAAGGAACUACAAUCAUCUUUAAAUCUCAACAGCAAAAUGGUAUCUCCUCUCGAAACAAAAUAAAGCCGCUUCAUAUCUUCCUCCUUCUUGGUCUCAACCUGGACUUUUUGUAGCUUUACAUGAUCGAUUUACAGAUCUCAUAGGUGACAUCAACAACUUUAUGCCAAAUGAAAGGGGAGCUUUUUAUUAGGUUUAUCGUUAUUGGCUUUGGAAUUCUAGAUCUGCACAUGAGUAUGAACCACUAGGCUACAGCAAGGAGAAAAUCAAUCUUUAAAAGGGUUACAAAAUGAAAUUUCUUGCAGCAAAAUUUGAUGGCCGGGUGAUGUUGCUAGUAUGGUUCAUACGGAAUUGACAGAUAAUAUGUUAAUUGAACCUAAUAGCAAGGACGUACACAUCCCAGAUAUCAAUAACCUACGGGAGCCUUCAGCAAAUGACACAGACGAGAAGAAGAAUGUUUGUUUCGAUUCCACGUUGGAGUCAGUUAUUGCAGUUGAACACCAAUAGCUUUAGAGACAGAAGGGAGCUUGGGAGAUGGUCUAGUUUUUCUUAAACAAGGUGCUGUAAUUACAUUACUUAUAGAUGUUGUUGAGGUUGACAGUGAGGAUGAAAGGGAGAAAACCGCAAUACAUACUUGUAGUGCCAAAGUCAAAGAACUACAGAAUGUAUCAACUAAUCAAGCUUUGAAUGCACCCGUAAAGUGUUUGAAGAGGCCAUUGUCAGUUCAAAGAAAUGUGAAGCCAGCUCUGAAAAAGUCUUAUGAACCCCAUGGUCCCGAUUGCUGUCCUCUCAAAAAGAUUUAGGCUUCUGAAUCCAAAUUUGGCGGAAGUGUCAGUCAAAAAGAUGACCAGAAUCUGAAUGGGUUUUUUGGUCUAUAAUGAUGAAUACAUCUAUGAAAAAGAGAAAACCGUAGCUCCGUUACAAAGUCCUGGUCCGUACAAUCACUACGAAUUCCCCAACAACUUGACCAUCACAGGAAUGGAGGAAUGAACCUCACACGUAUAGUAGAACCAUAAUCGCGUUAUGAUUUCUCCUCUCAAAAACAAAAUCGAAGAAAAGGCUGCCAAUUUGAAGCGAUGACUCAUGACUGUCAGUACGUAGCUUAUGAAGAAACAUUGUUUCUAUGUGUUGAAUGCGGUAAGAAACUCCCAUGGUUUAAGAAACCACGCAUUCUCUUAAUGAUGAAGGUGUACUUGAAUGGGAUGUUGUCGGUCAAACCAUAGAUAGAGCUAAGAUGAUGCUGCGGAAGAGGCUGAAUCAAAGAAAGCAUGUGAGUUGGAGUACCACGCGAUUGCAGGUUUUAUGCGUGUAGAUGAAGAUGAAGUUGAACAUUACACGGUGUCGUCACCAGCACCAAUGUAAGAGGUGAGUGAAAUGUUAACACACUUAUUUUGUACAAAUUAUGUUUCAAAAAUAUGUUAACAAUAAUCUCAUCAGAGGCACAACUUAUUAUGCUAAAUGUAUACCAACUUUGUUUCGAAAAGAUGCACAAGCCCAUCUUUUUAAACCGGAGAAGAGUUUGAUUGUAAACACUUGAGGGGCUUUUUUCCCCAUGAUAUUAUUCUGUCUACUAUCUCUUUAAUGCCUUAUUCACUGUUUAAA
Papaver somniferum (opium poppy) is the source of this 1739-nucleotide long non-coding RNA. RefSeq lists it as uncharacterized. NCBI's taxonomy places the organism in Eukaryota, Viridiplantae, Streptophyta, Magnoliopsida, Ranunculales, Papaveraceae. The transcript is spliced from 8 exons. The record is from RefSeq and is a predicted model, not a curated record.